GAUGAACGCUGGCGGCGUGCCUAAUACAUGCAAGUCGAGCGAACGGACGAGAAGCUUGCUUCUCUGAUGUUAGCGGCGGACGGGUGAGUAACACGUGGAUAACCUACCCAUAAGACUGGGAUAACUUCGGGAAACCGGGGCUAAUACCGGAUAAUAUUUUGAACCGCAUGGUUCAAAAGUGAAAGACGGUCUUGCUGUCACUUAUGGAUGGAUCCGCGCUGCAUUAGCUAGUUGGUAAGGUAACGGCUUACCAAGGCAACGAUGCAUAGCCGACCUGAGAGGGUGAUCGGCCACACUGGAACUGAGACGCGGUCCAGACUCCUACGGGAGGCAGCAGUAGGGAAUCUUCCGCAAUGGGCGAAAGCCUGACGGAGCAACGCCGCGUGAGUGAUGAAGGUCUUCGGAUCGUAAAACUCUGUUAUUAGGGAAGAACAUAUGUGUAAGUAACUGUGCACAUCUUGACGGUACCUAAUCAGAAAGCCACGGCUAACUACGUGCCAGCAGCCGCGGUAAUACGUAGGUGGCAAGCGUUAUCCGGAAUUAUUGGGCGUAAAGCGCGCGUAGGCGGUUUUUUAAGUCUGAUGUGAAAGCCCACGGCUCAACCGUGGAGGGUCAUUGGAAACUGGAAAACUUGAGUGCAGAAGAGGAAAGUGGAAUUCCAUGUGUAGCGGUGAAAUGCGCAGAGAUAUGGAGGAACACCAGUGGCGAAGGCGACUUUCUGGUCUGUAACUGACGCUGAUGUGCGAAAGCGUGGGGAUCAAACAGGAUUAGAUACCCUGGUAGUCCACGCCGUAAACGAUGAGUGCUAAGUGUUAGGGGGUUUCCGCCCCUUAGUGCUGCAGCUAACGCAUUAAGCACUCCGCCUGGGGAGUACGACCGCAAGGUUGAAACUCAAAGGAAUUGACGGGGACCCGCACAAGCGGUGGAGCAUGUGGUUUAAUUCGAAGCAACGCGAAGAACCUUACCAAAUCUUGACAUCCUUUGACAACUCUAGAGAUAGAGCCUUCCCCUUCGGGGGACAAAGUGACAGGUGGUGCAUGGUUGUCGUCAGCUCGUGUCGUGAGAUGUUGGGUUAAGUCCCGCAACGAGCGCAACCCUUAAGCUUAGUUGCCAUCAUUAAGUUGGGCACUCUAAGUUGACUGCCGGUGACAAACCGGAGGAAGGUGGGGAUGACGUCAAAUCAUCAUGCCCCUUAUGAUUUGGGCUACACACGUGCUACAAUGGACAAUACAAAGGGCAGCGAAACCGCGAGGUCAAGCAAAUCCCAUAAAGUUGUUCUCAGUUCGGAUUGUAGUCUGCAACUCGACUACAUGAAGCUGGAAUCGCUAGUAAUCGUAGAUCAGCAUGCUACGGUGAAUACGUUCCCGGGUCU
This 1372-nucleotide ribosomal RNA is filed under the name uncultured bacterium. RNAcentral's name for it is "bacterial SSU rRNA". It matches the Rfam family "Bacterial small subunit ribosomal RNA", at positions 28 to 1381 of the family's 1533-position model. The record is from RNAcentral.